RNAcentral lists this ribosomal RNA (847 nucleotides) under Ascochyta pisi. RNAcentral describes it as "eukaryotic LSU rRNA". It matches the Rfam family "Eukaryotic large subunit ribosomal RNA", at positions 75 to 940 of the family's 3401-position model. The record is from RNAcentral. Lineage: Eukaryota; Fungi; Ascomycota; Dothideomycetes; Pleosporales; Didymellaceae.
UUGCCCUAGUAACGGCGAGUGAAGCGGCAACAGCUCAAAUUUGAAAUCUGGCGUCUUCGGCGUCCGAGUUGUAAUUUGCAGAGGGCGCUUUGGCAUUGGCAGCGGUCCAAGUUCCUUGGAACAGGACGUCACAGAGGGUGAGAAUCCCGUACGUGGUCGCUAGCCUUUACCGUGUAAAGCCCCUUCGACGAGUCGAGUUGUUUGGGAAUGCAGCUCUAAAUGGGAGGUAAAUUUCUUCUAAAGCUAAAUACUGGCCAGAGACCGAUAGCGCACAAGUAGAGUGAUCGAAAGAUGAAAAGCACUUUGGAAAGAGAGUUAAAAAGCACGUGAAAUUGUUGAAAGGGAAGCGCUUGCAGCCAGACUUGCCUGUAGUUGCUCAUCCGGGUUUCUACCCGGUGCACUCUUCUAUGGGCAGGCCAGCAUCAGUUUGGGCGGUUGGAUAAAGGUCUCUGUCAUGUACCUCUCUUCGGGGAGAACUUAUAGGGGAGACGUCAUGCAACCAGCCUGGACUGAGGUCCGCGCAUCUGCUAGGAUGCUGGCGUAAUGGCUGUAAGCGGCCCGUCUUGAAACACGGACCAAGGAGUCUAACAUCUAUGCGAGUGUUUGGGUGUCAAGCCCGAGCGCGUAAUGAAAGUGAACGGAGGUGGGAACCUUUCGGGGUGCACCAUCGACCGAUCCUGAUGUCUUCGGAUGGAUUUGAGUAAGAGCAUAGCUGUUGGGACCCGAAAGAUGGUGAACUAUGCUUGAAUAGGGUGAAGCCAGAGGAAACUCUGGUGGAGGCUCGCAGCGGUUCUGACGUGCAAAUCGAUCGUCAAAUUUGGGCAUAGGGGCGAAAGACUAAUCGAAC